RNAcentral lists this ribosomal RNA (816 nucleotides) under Staphylococcus aureus. RNAcentral describes it as "partial 23S ribosomal RNA". It matches the Rfam family "Bacterial large subunit ribosomal RNA", at positions 1150 to 1967 of the family's 2925-position model. Lineage: Bacteria; Bacillati; Bacillota; Bacilli; Caryophanales; Staphylococcaceae. The record is from RNAcentral.
CGAGUGACACUGCGCCGAAAAUGUACCGGGGCUAAACAUAUUACCGAAGCUGUGGAUUGUCCUUUGGACAAUGGUAGGAGAGCGUUCUAAGGGCGUUGAAGCAUGAUCGUAAGGACAUGUGGAGCGCUUAGAAGUGAGAAUGCCGGUGUGAGUAGCGAAAGACGGGUGAGAAUCCCGUCCACCGAUUGACUAAGGUUUCCAGAGGAAGGCUCGUCCGCUCUGGGUUAGUCGGGUCCUAAGCUGAGGCCGACAGGCGUAGGCGAUGGAUAACAGGUUGAUAUUCCUGUACCACCUAUAAUCGUUUUAAUCGAUGGGGGGACGCAGUAGGAUAGGCGAAGCGUGCGAUUGGAUUGCACGUCUAAGCAGUAAGGCUGAGUAUUAGGCAAAUCCGGUACUCGUUAAGGCUGAGCUGUGAUGGGGAGAAGACAUUGUGUCUUCGAGUCGUUGAUUUCACACUGCCGAGAAAAGCCUCUAGAUAGAAAAUAGGUGCCCGUACCGCAAACCGACACAGGUAGUCAAGAUGAGAAUUCUAAGGUGAGCGAGCGAACUCUCGUUAAGGAACUCGGCAAAAUGACCCCGUAACUUCGGGAGAAGGGGUGCUCUUUAGGGUUAACGCCCAGAAGAGCCGCAGUGAAUAGGCCCAAGCGACUGUUUAUCAAAAACACAGGUCUCUGCUAAACCGUAAGGUGAUGUAUAGGGGCUGACGCCUGCCCGGUGCUGGAAGGUUAAGAGGAGUGGUUAGCUUCUGCGAAGCUACGAAUCGAAGCCCCAGUAAACGGCGGCCGUAACUAUAACGGUCCUAAGGUAGCGAAAUUC